CACCAGAUCGUCGUCACCUGCUUGGGACAGCCGGCUCAAAGUCAGACUACGUGGGAGCAGAUUGUUCCAGUAAUACAUCCCUGAGCCCGCUCGAUUUAAAACGACCAAAUUCGCCAGAAAAAAACUUCAAAAAAGCAGUCUAAUCACCGUGAACCUGCCCGGUAGGCGGCAGAGCGAGUUUCUGCGCGGAUCCCUGACCGUGAAAAGCGCCCUGUCCUAAUCGCUCAAUACUUCGGACUGACAUCAGUGUUUUAAGUCGCUUGUUUCUACCUCACAAUUGCCCACCUCCCGAUAAUGCUAUGGGACACAGCCUUUGUUUUCUGUCACUGUUUCCCAGCAGGGAUUUUAAUCUUCCCCAGGAAUGGCAAGGCUCUGACCUGAAGACUGGCUUUUACUUACAGAAACUUUGGUUUCAUGGCUGGUGGUGCGAUUAAAUUACAGAAUAAUAACCCCCACCCCCCCUUGCGUAAUGAGACUCCCCUUAAUAUUCAUCAUGAUCCGAGCUUUUUGU
This is a long non-coding RNA of Brienomyrus brachyistius, 511 nucleotides long. RefSeq lists it as uncharacterized. The transcript has 3 exons. The record is from RefSeq and is a predicted model, not a curated record. Lineage: Eukaryota; Metazoa; Chordata; Actinopteri; Osteoglossiformes; Mormyridae.